GGCGAACGGGUGAGUAACGCGUGAGGAACCUGCCUCAAAGAGGGGGACAACAGUUGGAAACGACUGCUAAUACCGCAUAAGCCCACGGUGCCGCAUGGCACAGAGGGAAAAGGAGCAAUCCGCUUUGAGAUGGCCUCGCGUCCGAUUAGCUAGUUGGUGAGGUAACGGCCCACCAAGGCAACGAUCGGUAGCCGGACUGAGAGGUUGAACGGCCACAUUGGGACUGAGACACGGCCCAGACUCCUACGGGAGGCAGCAUG
Molecule: ribosomal RNA, 260 nt
Filed under: uncultured bacterium
Lineage: Bacteria
Description: partial 16S ribosomal RNA
Rfam family: Bacterial small subunit ribosomal RNA
Source: RNAcentral